This 274-nucleotide ribosomal RNA is filed under the name uncultured bacterium. Its description in RNAcentral is "partial 16S ribosomal RNA". It matches the Rfam family "Bacterial small subunit ribosomal RNA", at positions 523 to 796 of the family's 1533-position model. The record is from RNAcentral.
AUACGGAGGGUGCAAGCGUUACUCGGAAUCACUGGGCGUAAAGCGCGCGCAGGCGGGCUGAUAAGUUGGAUGUGAAAGCCUACGGCUCAACCGUAGAACUGCAUCCAAAACUGUCAGUCUAGAGUGUGGGAGAGGAAGAUGGAAUUAGUUGUGUAGGGGUAAAAUCCGUAGAGAUAACUAGGAAUACCAAAAGCGAAGGCAAUCUUCUGGAACACUACUGACGUUGAGGCGCGAAGGCGUGGGGAGCAAACAGGAUUAGAAACCCCAGUAGUCC